This 198-nucleotide ribosomal RNA is filed under the name uncultured bacterium. RNAcentral describes it as "partial 16S ribosomal RNA". It matches the Rfam family "Bacterial small subunit ribosomal RNA", at positions 328 to 539 of the family's 1533-position model. The record is from RNAcentral.
ACGCUCGACACCUACGGGGGCAGCAGUGGGGAAUAUUGCACAAUGGGGGGAACCCUGAUGCAGCGACGCCGCGUGAGUGAAGAAGUACUUCGGUAUGUAAAGCUCUAUCAGCAGGGAAGAAAAUGACGGUACCUGACUAAGAAGCCCCGGCUAACUACGUGCCAGCAGCCGCGGUAAUCUGAGGCGGGCUGGCAAGGC